Molecule: non-coding RNA, 213 nt
Filed under: Gemelliphila asaccharolytica
Lineage: Bacteria; Bacillati; Bacillota; Bacilli; Caryophanales; Gemellaceae
Description: Gemella asaccharolytica T-box sequence
Rfam family: T-box leader
About the family: Uncharged tRNA acts as the effector for transcription antitermination of genes in the T-box leader family. T-boxes are found upstream of many aminoacyl-tRNA synthetase genes and some amino acid biosynthetic genes usually in Gram-positive bacteria.
Source: RNAcentral
AUAAAUGCGAUGAGCCGAUAAGUAGAAUAAUAGCGUACCGAAUACAGAAAGGAAAUCAUUGAUGAGAGAUUUCUUCUAAGCUAUCAUUCGAAGUAGCCGGUGAGCAUCUAAGAUAAAAAAUAAGUCUUAGACGUAAUAGAGCGAUAAUCUUAAAUGAGCUAAUAUGUUAAUGUUAGAAAUAAAGGUGGUACCACGGAUAUUUUCGUCCUUUAG